RNAcentral lists this ribosomal RNA (483 nucleotides) under uncultured bacterium. RNAcentral's name for it is "bacterial SSU rRNA". It matches the Rfam family "Bacterial small subunit ribosomal RNA", at positions 501 to 985 of the family's 1533-position model. The record is from RNAcentral.
CUACGUGCCAGCAGCCGCGGUAAUACGUAGGGCGCGAGCGUUGUCCGGAAUUAUUGGGCGUAAAGAGCUUGUAGGCGGUUUGUCGCGUCUGCUGUGAAAGGCCGGGGCUUAACCCCGUGUAUUGCAGUGGGUACGGGCAGACUAGAGUGCAGUAGGGGAGACUGGAAUUCCUGGUGUAGCGGUGGAAUGCAUAGAUAUCACGCAGAACUCCGAUUGCGAAGGCAGCUUACUAAGGUACAACUGACGCUGAAGCACGAAAGCGUGGGUAUCAAACAGGAUUAGAUACCCUGGUAGUCCACGCAGUAAACGAUGAUAACUGGGCGUAUGCGAUAUACAGUAUGCUCCUAAGCGAAAGCGUUAAGUUAUCCACCUGGGGAGUACGCCGGCAACGGUGAAACUCAAAGGAAUUGACGGGGGCCCGCACAAGCGGAGGAACAUGUGGUUUAAUUCGAUGAUACGCGAGGAACCUUACCCGGGAUUGAA